Non-coding RNA from Podarcis lilfordi (Lilford's wall lizard), 82 nucleotides. Lineage: Eukaryota; Metazoa; Chordata; Lepidosauria; Squamata; Lacertidae. The record is from the annotation of a GenBank genome assembly.
GUAAGAGCAGGCAUAGGAGCCGCGGUUGGGAGAAGCACAGCGCAGCGCUUCUCCCAACUGUGGCUCCUGUGCCUGGCCUUGC